RNAcentral lists this ribosomal RNA (1000 nucleotides) under Vibrio vulnificus. Its description in RNAcentral is "bacterial SSU rRNA". It matches the Rfam family "Bacterial small subunit ribosomal RNA", at positions 464 to 1440 of the family's 1533-position model. Lineage: Bacteria; Pseudomonadati; Pseudomonadota; Gammaproteobacteria; Vibrionales; Vibrionaceae. The record is from RNAcentral.
AUCAUUUGACAGUUAGCCACAGAAGAAGCACCGGCCUACCUCCGUGCCAGCCAGCCCGCGGUGAAUACGGAGGGGUGCGUAGCGGUUAAUCGGAAUUACUGGGCGUAAAGCCGCAUGCAGGUGGGUUUGUUACAGUCAAGAUAGUGAAAGCCCUGGGCUCAACCCUCCGGAACUUGCAUUUGAAAACUGGCAGACUAGAGUACUGUAGAGGAGGGGUAGAAUUUAAGGUGUAGCGGUGAAAUGCGUAGAGAUUCUGAAGGAAGUACCGCUGGCGAAAGGCGGCCCCCUGGACAGAUACUGACACUCAGAUGCGAAAAGCGUGGGGAGCAAACAGGAUUAGAUACCCUGGUAGUCCACGCUGUAAAACGAUGUCUACUUGGAGGUUGUGGCCUUGAGCCGUGGCUUUCGGAGCUAACGCGUUAAGUAGACCGCCUGGGGAGUACGGUCGCAAGAUUAAAACUCAAAUGAAUUGACGGGGGCCCGCACAAGCGGUGGAGCAUGUGGUUUAAUUCGAUGCAACGCGAAGAACCUUACCUACUCUUGACAUCCAGAGAAGCCAGCGGAGACGCAGGUGUGCCUUCGGGAACUCUGAGACAGGUGCUGCAUGGCUGUCGUCAGCUCGUGUUGUGAAAUGUUGGGUUAAGUCCCGCAACGAGCGCAACCCUUAUCCUUGUUUGCCAGCGAGUAAUGUCGGGAACUCCAGGGAGACUGCCGGUGAUAAACUGGAGGAAGGUGGGGACGACGUCAAGUCAUCAUGGCCCUUACGAGUAGGGCUACACACGUGCUACAAUGGCGCAUACAGAGGGCGGCCAACUUGCGAAAGUGAGCGAAUCCCAAUAAGUGCGUCGUAGUCCGGAUUGGAGUCUGCAACUCGACUCCAUGAAGUCGGAAUCGCUAGUAAUCGUGGAUCAGAAUGCCACGGUGAAUACGUUCCCGGGCCUUGUACACACCGCCCGUCGCACCAUGGGAGUGGGCUGCAAAAGAAGUGGGUAGUUUUAAC